AACGCACAUUGCGCCCUUUGGUAUUCCUUAGGGCAUGCCUGUUCGAGCGUCAUAAGUACCUUCAAGCUUGGCUUGGUGAUGGGUGUCUGUCUUGCCGAUUGCGUGCGGACUCACCUCAAAAAUAGUUGGCAGCUCAUCUUUUUGGCUCUAAACGCAGCAGACGCGCGAUGAAAGCCAGGAAAGAUGCUUUCCAUAAAGCUAUACCUUAUGCAUGACCUCGGAUCAGGUAGGGAUACCCGCUGAACUUAA
RNAcentral lists this unclassified non-coding RNA (249 nucleotides) under uncultured Pleosporales. RNAcentral describes it as "sequence contains 5.8S rRNA gene, ITS2, 28S rRNA gene". The record is from RNAcentral. Lineage: Eukaryota; Fungi; Ascomycota; Dothideomycetes; Pleosporales.